GGGUUGUGAGGUUAAGCGAACAAGCGUACACGGUGGAUGCCCUGGCAGUCAGAGGCGAUGAAGGACGUGCUAAUCUGCGAAAAGCGCCGGUAAGGUGAUAUGAACCGUUAUAACCGGCGAUGUCCGAAUGGGGAAACCCGGUGCACUUCGGUGCAUCAUCGUUAGCUGAAUACAUAGGCUAACGAGGCGAACCGGGGGAACUGAAACAUCUAAGUACCCCGAGGAAAAGAAAUCAACCGAGAUUCCCCCAGUAGCGGCGAGCGAACGGGGAACAGCCCAGAGCCUGAAUCAGCUUGUGUGUCAGUGGAACGGUCUGGAAAGACCGGCGAUACAGGGUGACAGCCCCGUACACGAAGGCACACAGGCUGUGAGCUCGAUGAGUAGGGCGGGACACGUGAUAUCCUGUCUGAAGAUGGGGGGACCAUCCUCCAAGGCUAAAUACUCCUGACUGACCGAUAGUGAACCAGUACCGUGAGGGAAAGGCGAAAAGAACCCCGGCGAGGGGAGUGAAACAGAACCUGAAACCGUGUACGUACAAGCAGUGGGAGCCUUCGUAAGAGGGUGACUGCGUACCUUUUGUAUAAUGGGUCAGCGACUUAUAUUCUGUAGCAAGGUUAACCGUAUAGGGGAGCCGAAGGGAAACCGAGUCUUAAUUGGGCGUUAAGUUGCAGGGUAUAGACCCGAAACCCGGUGAUCUAGCCAUGGGCAGGUUGAAGGUUGGGUAACACUAACUGGAGGACCGAACCGACUAAUGUUGAAAAAUUAGCGGAUGACCUGUGGCUGGGGGUGAAAGGCCAAUCAAACCGGGAGAUAGCUGGUUCUCCCCGAAAGCUAUUUAGGUAGCGCCUCGUGAACUCAUCUCCGGGGGUAGAGCACUGUUUCGGCUAGGGGGCCAUCCCGGCUUACCAACCCGAUGCAAACUGCGAAUACCGGAGAAUGUUAUCACGGGAGACACACGGCGGGUGCUAACGUCCGUCGUGAAGAGGGAAACAACCCAGACCGCCAGCUAAGGUCCCAAAGUCAUGGUUAAGUGGGAAACGAUGUGGGAAGGCCCAGACAGCCAGGAUGUUGGCUUAGAAGCAGCCAUCAUUUAAAGAAAGCGUAAUAGCUCACUGGUCGAGUCGGCCUGCGCGGAAGAUGUAACGGGGCUAAACCAUGCACCGAAGCUGCGGCAGCGACGCUUAUGCGUUGUUGGGUAGGGGAGCGUUCUGUAAGCCUGCGAAGGUGUGCUGUGAGGCAUGCUGGAGGUAUCAGAAGUGCGAAUGCUGACAUAAGUAACGAUAAAGCGGGUGAAAAGCCCGCUCGCCGGAAGACCAAGGGUUCCUGUCCAACGUUAAUCGGGGCAGGGUGAGUCGACCCCUAAGGCGAGGCCGAAAGGCGUAGUCGAUGGGAAACAGGUUAAUAUUCCUGUACUUGGUGUUACUGCGAAGGGGGGACGGAGAAGGCUAUGUCGGCCGGGCGACGGUUGUCCCGGUUUAAGCGUGUAGGCUGACUUUCCAGGCAAAUCCGGAGAGUUAAGGCUGAGGCGUGAUGACGAGGCACCACGGUGCUGAAGUGACAAAUGCCCUGCUUCCAGGAAAAGCCUCUAAGCAUCAGGUAACAUCAAAUCGUACCCCAAACCGACACAGGUGGUCAGGUAGAGAAUACCAAGGCGCUUGAGAGAACUCGGGUGAAGGAACUAGGCAAAAUGGUGCCGUAACUUCGGGAGAAGGCACGCUGACAUGUAGGUGAAGCCCCUGCGGGUGGAGCUGAAGUCAGUCGAAGAUACCAGCUGGCUGCAACUGUUUAUUAAAAACACAGCACUGUGCAAACACGAAAGUGGACGUAUACGGUGUGACGCCUGCCCGGUGCCGGAAGGUUAAUUGAUGGGGUUAUCGCAAGAGAAGCUCCUGAUCGAAGCCCCGGUAAACGGCGGCCGUAACUAUAACGGUCCUAAGGUAGCGAAAUUCCUUGUCGGGUAAGUUCCGACCUGCACGAAUGGCGUAAUGAUGGCCAGGCUGUCUCCACCCGAGACUCAGUGAAAUUGAACUCGCUGUGAAGAUGCAGUGUACCCGCGGCAAGACGGAAAGACCCCGUGAACCUUUACUACAGCUUGACACUGAACAUUGAGCCUUGAUGUGUAGGAUAGGUGGGAGGCUUUGAAGCGUGGACGCCAGUCUGCGUGGAGCCAACCUUGAAAUACCACCCUUUAAUGUUUGAUGUUCUAACCUGGCGCCAUAAUCUGGCGUGGGGACAGUGUCUGGUGGGUAGUUUGACUGGGGCGGUCUCCUCCCAAAGUGUAACGGAGGAGCACGAAGGUCAGCUAAUCCUGGUCGGACAUCAGGAGGUUAGUGCAAUGGCAUAAGCUGGCUUGACUGCGAGAGUGACGGCUCGAGCAGGUGCGAAAGCAGGUCAUAGUGAUCCGGUGGUUCUGUAUGGAAGGGCCAUCGCUCAACGGAUAAAAGGUACUCCGGGGAUAACAGGCUGAUACCGCCCAAGAGUUCAUAUCGACGGCGGUGUUUGGCACCUCGAUGUCGGCUCAUCACAUCCUGGGGCUGAAGUAGGUCCCAAGGGUAUGGCUGUUCGCCAUUUAAAGUGGUACGCGAGCUGGGUUUAGAACGUCGUGAGACAGUUCGGUCCCUAUCUGCCGUGGGCGCUGGAGAAUUGAGGGGGGCUGCUCCCAGUACGAGAGGACCGGAGUGGACGCAUCACUGGUGUUCGGGUUGUCAUGCCAAUGGCACUGCCCGGUAGCUAAAUGCGGAAGAGAUAAGUGCUGAAAGCAUCUAAGCACGAAACUUGCCCCGAGAUGAGUUCUCCCUGAGACUGUAAGUCUCCUGAAGGAACGUUGAAGACGACGACGUUGAUAGGCCGGGUGUGUAAGCGCAGCGAUGCGUUGAGCUAACCGGUACUAAUGAACCGUGAGGCUUAACCUUACAACGCCAAAGAAGU
RNAcentral lists this ribosomal RNA (2928 nucleotides) under Cronobacter sakazakii. RNAcentral's name for it is "bacterial LSU rRNA". It matches the Rfam family "Bacterial large subunit ribosomal RNA". Lineage: Bacteria; Pseudomonadati; Pseudomonadota; Gammaproteobacteria; Enterobacterales; Enterobacteriaceae. The record is from RNAcentral.